RNAcentral lists this ribosomal RNA (450 nucleotides) under uncultured bacterium. Its description in RNAcentral is "partial 16S ribosomal RNA". It matches the Rfam family "Bacterial small subunit ribosomal RNA", at positions 338 to 795 of the family's 1533-position model. The record is from RNAcentral.
CCUACGGGGGGCAGCAGUGGGGAAUUUUGGACAAUGGGGGCAACCCUGAUCCAGCCAUUCCGCGUGAGUGAAGAAGGCCUUCGGGUUGUAAAGCUCUUUCGCAAGGGAAGAAAACUUACUCAAUAACACUGGGUGAGGCUGACGGUACCUUGAUAAGAAGCACCGGCUAACUACGUGCCAGCAGCCGCGGUAAUACGUAGGGUGCGUGCGUUAAUCGGAAUUACUGGGCGUAGAGCUGGCGCAGACAGGUGAAAUCCCCGGGAUCAACCUGGGAACUGCGUUUGAAACUACAAGGCUAGAGUAUGGAAGAGGGGGGUAGAAUUCCACGUGUAGCAGUGAAAUGCGUAGAGAUGUGGAGGAAUACCAAUGGCGAAGGCAGCCCCCUGGGUCAAUACUGACGCUCAUGCACGAAAGCGUGGGGAGCAAACAGGAUUAGAUACCCUUGUAGUC